GAACGCUGGCGGCGUGCCUAAUACAUGCAAGUUGAGCGCUGAAGGUUGGUACUUGUACCGACUGGAUGAGCAGCGAACGGGUGAGUAACGCGUGGGGAAUCUGCCUUUGAGCGGGGGACAACAUUUGGAAACGAAUGCUAAUACCGCAUAAAAACUUUAAACACAAGUUUUAAGUUUGAAAGAUGCAAUUGCAUCACUCAAAGAUGAUCCCGCGUUGUAUUAGCUAGUUGGUGAGGUAAAGGCUCACCAAGGCGAUGAUACAUAGCCGACCUGAGAGGGUGAUCGGCCACAUUGGGACUGAGACACGGCCCAAACUCCUACGGGAGGCAGCAGUAGGGAAUCUUCGGCAAUGGACGAAAGUCUGACCGAGCAACGCCGCGUGAGUGAAGAAGGUUUUCGGAUCGUAAAACUCUGUUGGUAGAGAAGAACGUUGGUGAGAGUGGAAAGCUCAUCAAGUGACGGUAACUACCCAGAAAGGGACGGCUAACUACGUGCCAGCAGCCGCGGUAAUACGUAGGUCCCGAGCGUUGUCCGGAUUUAUUGGGCGUAAAGCGAGCGCAGGUGGUUUAUUAAGUCUGGUGUAAAAGGCAGUGGCUCAACCAUUGUAUGCAUUGGAAACUGGUAGACUUGAGUGCAGGAGAGGAGAGUGGAAUUCCAUGUGUAGCGGUGAAAUGCGUAGAUAUAUGGAGGAACACCGGUGGCGAA
Molecule: ribosomal RNA, 705 nt
Filed under: Lactococcus sp. enrichment culture clone V-S2/V-S3_7
Lineage: Bacteria; Bacillati; Bacillota; Bacilli; Lactobacillales; Streptococcaceae
Description: bacterial SSU rRNA
Rfam family: Bacterial small subunit ribosomal RNA
Source: RNAcentral